CCGGUUGAUCCUGCCGGAGGCUACCGCUAUUGGAGUUCGAUUAAGCCAUGCGAGUCGCGAGAAUUAGAUUCUCGGCGUACCGCUCAGUAACACGUGGGUAACCUGCCCUAUGCUGGAUAAUAACCUCGGGAAACUGAGAAUAAUGAUCUAUAGUUCACUACGCCUGGAACGGUGAGUGGAUGAAAGCUCCGGCGGCAUAGGAUGGGCCUGCGGCGUAUCAGGUUGUAGGGGGUGUAACGUACCCUCUAGCCCUCUACGCGUACGGGUGUUGGGAGACAUAGCCCGGAGAUGGAUUCUGAGACACGAAUCCAGACCCUACGGGGUGCAGCAGGCGCGAAAACUUGGCAAUGCGAGAAAUCGUGACCAGGGAACUCCAAGUGCAUGGGGUAAGACCUAUGCUUUUCUAGACUCUAAAAAGGUCUUGGAAUAAGAGGUGGGUAAGGACGGUGCCAGCCGCCGCGGUAAUACCGGCGCCUCAAGUGGUAGUCGCUUUUAUUGGGCCUAAAACGUCCGUAGCCGGUCUGAUACAUUCGUGGGUAAAUCAACCAGCUUAACUGGUUGAAUUCUGCGAGGACGGUCAGACUUGGGACCGGGAGAGGUGUGGGGUACGCUCAGGGUAGGGGUAAAAUCCUGUCAUCCUGAGCGGACCACCUGUUGCGAAGGCGCCACACUAGAACGGAUCCGACGGUCAGGGACGAAGCCUAGGGGCACGAACCGGAUUAGAUACCCGGGUAGUCCUAGGUGUAAACGCUGUGGACUUGAUGUUGGGGGUGCUCCGAGCACUCUCAGUGUCGAAGCGAAGGCGAUAAGUCCACUGCCUGGGAAGUACGGUCGCAAGGCUGAAACUUAAAGGAAUUGGCGGGGGAGCACCGCAACCUGAGGAUUGUGCGGUUUAAUUGGAGUCAACGCCG
This 911-nucleotide ribosomal RNA is filed under the name uncultured marine archaeon. Its description in RNAcentral is "bacterial SSU rRNA". It matches the Rfam family "Archaeal small subunit ribosomal RNA", at positions 4 to 920 of the family's 1478-position model. The record is from RNAcentral.